GGGGCAUUUGGCAUGGGGAAACCCUGAUCAGCCAUGCCGCGUGAGUGAUGAAGGCCUUCGGGUUGUAAAGCUCUUUCGGCCGGGAAGAAAUGGUGAGGGCUAAUACCCUGUGGGGAUGACGGUUCCGGAACUAAAAGCACCGGCUAACUACGUGCCAGCAGCCGCGGUAAUA
Molecule: ribosomal RNA, 172 nt
Filed under: uncultured bacterium
Lineage: Bacteria
Description: partial 16S rRNA
Rfam family: Bacterial small subunit ribosomal RNA
Source: RNAcentral